CAGUUCAUGAUGAUUGAUAAGGAGAACCAGUCCGUCCUGAUUACCGGAGAAUCCGGUGCAGGAAAGACUGUCAACACCAAGCGUGUCAUCCAGUACUUUGCCACCAUUGCAGUGUCUGG
Long non-coding RNA from Oncorhynchus masou masou (cherry salmon), 119 nucleotides. RefSeq lists it as uncharacterized. The record is from RefSeq and is a predicted model, not a curated record. The transcript is spliced from 3 exons. Lineage: Eukaryota; Metazoa; Chordata; Actinopteri; Salmoniformes; Salmonidae.